GACGAACGCUGGCGGCGCGCUUAACACAUGCAAGUCGAGCGAUGAAAUUUCGACAGAUCCCUUCGGGGUGAAGAUGAAAUGGAUUAGCGGCGGACGGGUGAGUAACACGUGAGUAACCUGCCUUAGACAUUGGGAUAGCCUCGGGAAACCGGGAUUAAUACCAAAUGAAAUCACAUAUGCACAUGCAUAAAUGAUCAAAGCUCCGGCGGUCUAAGAUGGACUCGCGUCCCAUUAGCUAGUUGGUGAGGUAACGGCCCACCAAGGCGACGAUGGGUAGCCGGCCUGAGAGGGUGAACGGCCACAUUGGAACUGAGAAACGGUCCAAACUCCUACGGGAGGCAGCAGUGGGGAAUAUUGCACAAUGGAGGGAACUCUGAUGCAGCGACGCCGCGUGAACGAAGAAGGCUUUCGAGUCGUAAAGUUCUUUUAUAUGGGAAGAUAAUGACGGUACCAUAAGAAAAAGCCCCGGCUAACUACGUGCCAGCAGCCGCGGUAAUACGUAGGGGGCUAGCGUUGUCCGGAAUCACUGGGCGUAAAGGGUUCGCAGGCGGAAAUGCAAGUCAGGUGUAAAAGGCAGUAGCUUAACUACUGUAAGCAUUUGAAACUGCAUAUCUUGAGAAGAGUAGAGGUAAGUGGAAUUUUUAGUGUAGCGGUGAAAUGCGUAGAUAUUAAAAAGAAUACCGGUGGCGAAGGCGACUUACUGGGCUCAUUCUGACGCUGAGGAACGAAAGCGUGGGUAGCAAACAGG
RNAcentral lists this ribosomal RNA (748 nucleotides) under uncultured Peptoniphilus sp. RNAcentral describes it as "bacterial SSU rRNA". It matches the Rfam family "Bacterial small subunit ribosomal RNA", at positions 28 to 776 of the family's 1533-position model. The record is from RNAcentral. Lineage: Bacteria; Bacillati; Bacillota; Tissierellia; Tissierellales; Peptoniphilaceae.